CAGCCUACGGGACGCAGCAGUGAGGAAUAUUGGUCAAUGGGCGCGAGCCUGAACCAGCCAAGUCGCGUGAGGGAAGACGGUCCUAUGGAUUGUAAACCUCUUUUGUCGGGGAGCAAAAGACGCCACGCGUGGCGUUCCGAGAGUACACGAAGACAAAGCAUCGGCUAACUCCGUGCCAGCAGCCGCGGUAAUACGGAGGAUGCGAGCGUUAUCCGGAUUUAUUGGGUUUAAAGGGUGCGCAGGCGGAAGAUCAAGUCAGCGGUAAAAUUGAGAGGGUCAAGCUCUUAGAGCCGUUGAAAAUGGUU
This 305-nucleotide ribosomal RNA is filed under the name uncultured bacterium. RNAcentral describes it as "bacterial SSU rRNA". It matches the Rfam family "Bacterial small subunit ribosomal RNA", at positions 334 to 638 of the family's 1533-position model. The record is from RNAcentral.